AGUGAACGCUGGCGGCGUGCUUAACACAUGCAAGUCGAACGAGAACGGAUUAUAGCUUGCUAUAAUUGUAAGCUAAGGUGCGCACGGGUGAGUAAUGUAUAGGUAAUAUGCCUCUUACUAAGGGAUAACAAAUGGAAACGUUUGCUAAUACCUUAUACCUCUUAUUAACAGAAGUUAACAAGGGAAAGAUUUAUUGGUAAGAGAUUAGCCUGUAUUGUAUCAGUUAGUUGGUGGGGUAGUGGCUUACCAAGACUAUGACACAUGACUUGUUUGAUAUGAUGAUCAGUCACACUGGAAAUGAGACACGGUCCAGUCUCCUACGGGAGGCAGCAGUGGAGAAUAUUGCACAAUGGACGAAAGUCUGAUGCAGCAACGCCGCGUGGAGGAUGACACAUUUCGGUGCGUAAACUCCUUUUAUAUGAGAAGAGAAUGACGGUAUUAUAUGAAUAAGCACCGGCUAACCCCGUGCCAGCCGCCGCCGUAA
This 484-nucleotide ribosomal RNA is filed under the name uncultured bacterium. Its description in RNAcentral is "partial 16S ribosomal RNA". It matches the Rfam family "Bacterial small subunit ribosomal RNA", at positions 29 to 523 of the family's 1533-position model. The record is from RNAcentral.